GACAGAGGUGCCAAGCGUUAGGCGGAAUCACUGGGCUUAAAGCGUGUGUAGGCGGGUCGUUAAGUACCUUGUGAAAUCCCACGGCUCAACCGUGGAACUGCUCGGUAUACUGGCGAUCUUGGGCCGCUUAGGGGCUAGCGGAACAAACGGUGGAGCGGUGAAAUGCGUAGAUAUCAGGAGGAACACCGGUGGUGUAGACGGCUUUCUGGACCGUAACUGACGCUGAGACACGAAAGCGUGGGUAGCAAACAGG
RNAcentral lists this ribosomal RNA (253 nucleotides) under uncultured bacterium. Its description in RNAcentral is "partial 16S ribosomal RNA". It matches the Rfam family "Bacterial small subunit ribosomal RNA", at positions 524 to 776 of the family's 1533-position model. The record is from RNAcentral.